GAUGAUCCUAGUGCAGCUACUAUUCCUUCUGAGGUUACUCCGGGUAUUGGGGCCCAAAUCCAGAUUGAUGCAUCGAGCACUGAUGCCCAGACAGAUGGAGCGACUAUGUAGACAUGACCCUUCUUUACCUCCCUCUCUAUCUUACUUUAUUUUGACUUUUAGAUAUUUUGGUUUUGUUUGCAUUUGAGGACAAAUGAUUUUAUUUGUGGUGGGGUGAGGCCCACCUUUGGUGUGAC
RNAcentral lists this long non-coding RNA (236 nucleotides) under Solanum tuberosum (potato). RNAcentral's name for it is "long non-coding RNA (STUB_LNC011329)". The record is from RNAcentral. Lineage: Eukaryota; Viridiplantae; Streptophyta; Magnoliopsida; Solanales; Solanaceae.